RNAcentral lists this ribosomal RNA (1506 nucleotides) under uncultured bacterium. Its description in RNAcentral is "16S ribosomal RNA". It matches the Rfam family "Bacterial small subunit ribosomal RNA". The record is from RNAcentral.
UUAGAGUUUGAUCAUGGCUCAGAUUGAACGCUGGCGGCAGGCUUAACACAUGCAAGUCGAGCGGAGAGAGGUAGCUUGCUACUGAUCUUAGCGGCGGACGGGUGAGUAAUGCUUAGGAAUCUGCCUAUUAGUGGGGGACAACAUUUCGAAAGGAAUGCUAAUACCGCAUACGUCCUACGGGAGAAAGCAGGGGAUCUUCAGACCUUGCGCUAAUAGAUGAGCCUAAGUCGGAUUAGCUAGUUGGUGGGGUAAAGGCCUACCAAGGCGACGAUCUGUAGCGGGUCUGAGAGGAUGAUCCGCCACACUGGGACUGAGACACGGCCCAGACUCCUACGGGAGGCAGCAGUGGGGAAUAUUGGACAAUGGGCGCAAGCCUGAUCCAGCCAUGCUGCGUGUGUGAAGAAGGCCUUAUGGUUGUAAAGCACUUUAAGCGAGGAGGAGGCUACUUUAGAUAAUACCUAGAGAUAGUGGACGUUACUCGCAGAAUAAGCACCGGCUAACUCUGUGCCAGCAGCCGCGGUAAUACAGAGGGUGCAAGCGUUAAUCGGAUUUACUGGGCGUAAAGCGCGCGUAGGCGGCUAAUUAAGUCAAAUGUGAAAUCCCCGAGCUUAACUUGGGAAUUGCAUUCGAUACUGGUUAGCUAGAGUGUGGGAGAGGAUGGUAGAAUUCCAGGUGUAGCGGUGAAAUGCGUAGAGAUCUGGAGGAAUACCGAUGGCGAAAGGCAGCCAUCUGGCCUAACACUGACGCUGAGGUGCGAAAGCAUGGGGAGCAAACAGGAUUAGAUACCCUGGUAGUCCAUGCCGUAAACGAUGUCUACUAGCCGUUGGGGCCUUUGAGGCUUUAGUGGCGCAGCUAACGUGAUAAGUAGACCGCCUGGGGAGUACGGUCGCAAGACUAAAACUCAAAUGAAUUGACGGGGGCCCGCACAAGCGGUGGAGCAUGUGGUUUAAUUCGAUGCAACGCGAAGAACCUUACCUGGCCUUGACAUAGUAAGAACUUUCCAGAGAUGGAUUGGUGCCUUCGGGAACUUACAUACAGGUGCUGCAUGGCUGUCGUCAGCUCGUGUCGUGAGAUGUUGGGUUAAGUCCCGCAACGAGCGCAACCCUUUUCCUUAUUUGCCAGCGAGUAAUGUCGGGAACUUUAAGGAUACUGCCAGUGACAAACUGGAGGAAGGCGGGGACGACGUCAAGUCAUCAUGGCCCUUACGGCCAGGGCUACACACGUGCUACAAUGGUCGGUACAAAGGGUUGCUACCUAGCGAUAGGAUGCUAAUCUCAAAAAGCCGAUCGUAGUCCGGAUUGGAGUCUGCAACUCGACUCCAUGAAGUCGGAAUCGCUAGUAAUCGCGGAUCAGAAUGCCGCGGUGAAUACGUUCCCGGGCCUUGUACACACCGCCCGUCACACCAUGGGAGUUUGUUGCACCAGAAGUAGCUAGCCUAACUGCAAAGAGGGCGGUUACCACGGUGUGGCCGAUGACUGGGGUGAAGUCGUAACAAGGUAACCGUAG